Molecule: ribosomal RNA, 369 nt
Filed under: uncultured phototrophic eukaryote
Lineage: Eukaryota
Description: bacterial SSU rRNA
Rfam family: Bacterial small subunit ribosomal RNA
Source: RNAcentral
UAAUACGGGGGAUGCAAGCGUUAUCCGGAAUCAUUGGGCGUAAAGCGCCUGUAGGUUGUUUAGUAAGUCUGUUGUUAAAGACUAGGGCUUAACCCUAGAAAAGCAAUGGAAACUACUAGACUAGAGUAUGGUAGGGGUAGAGGGAAUUUCUAGUGUAGCGGUGAAAUGCGUAGAUAUUAGAAAGAACACCGGUGGCGAAAGCGCUCUACUGGACCAUUACUAACACUCAGAGGCGAAAGCUAGGGUAGCAAAAGGGAUAGAUACCCCUGUAGUCCUAGCCGUAAACGAUGGAUACUAGAUGUUGCGCUUUGUGCAGUAUCGUAGCUAACGCGUUAAGUAUCCCGCCUGGGGAGUACGCUCGCAAGGGUG